GGGAGCUUGCUCCUGGAUUAGUGGCGAACGGGUGAGUAACACGUGAGUAACCUGCCCUUGACUCUGGGAUAAGCCUGGGAAACUGGGUCUAAUACCGGAUAUGACCUUCCAUCGCAUGGUGGUUGGUGGAAAGCUUUUGUGGUUUUGGAUGGACUCGCGGCCUAUCAGCUUGUUGGUGGGGUAAUGGCCUACCAAGGCGACGACGGGUAGCCGGCCUGAGAGGGUGACCGGCCACACUGGGACUGAGACACGGCCCASACUCCUACGGGAGGCAGCAGUGGGGAAUAUUGCACAAUGGGCGCAAGCCUGAUGCASCGACGCCGCGUGAGGGAUGACGGCCUUCGGGUUGUAAACCUCUUUCAGUAGGGAAGAAGCGAAAGUGACGGUACCUGMAKAWGAASCGCCGGCUAACUACGUGCCAGCAGCCGCGGUAAUACKUAGGGCGCAWGCUUUAUCCUCYACUUCUUGKGMGKAAMKASCUCGUAGGCGGUUUGUCRCGUCUGCCGUGAAAGUCYGGGGCUCCCUCCGGAUCUGCGGUGGGUACGAGCAGACUAGAGUGAUGUACGRGAGASUGGAAUUUCUGCUGUAGCGSGGAAAUACACAAAK
This 606-nucleotide ribosomal RNA is filed under the name Pseudarthrobacter defluvii. RNAcentral's name for it is "partial 16S ribosomal RNA". It matches the Rfam family "Bacterial small subunit ribosomal RNA", at positions 74 to 695 of the family's 1533-position model. Lineage: Bacteria; Bacillati; Actinomycetota; Actinomycetes; Micrococcales; Micrococcaceae. The record is from RNAcentral.